This 479-nucleotide ribosomal RNA is filed under the name uncultured bacterium. RNAcentral's name for it is "partial 16S ribosomal RNA". It matches the Rfam family "Bacterial small subunit ribosomal RNA", at positions 30 to 507 of the family's 1533-position model. The record is from RNAcentral.
AUUGAACGCUGGCGGCAUGCCUUACACAUGCAAAUCGAACGGUAACGGGCCUUCGGGUGCCGACGAGUGGCGAACGGGUGAGUAAUACAUCGGAACGUGCCCGAUCGUGGGGGAUAACGAGGCGAAAGCUUUGCUAAUACCGCAUACGAUCUACGGAUGAAAGCAGGGGACCGCAAGGCCUUGCGCGGACGGAGCGGCCGAUGGCAGAUUAGGUAGUUGGGAUAAAAGCUUACCAAGCCGACGAUCUGUAGCUGGUCUGAGAGGAUGAUCAGCCACACUGGGACUGAGACACGGCCCAGACUCCUACGGGAGGCAGCAGUGGGGAAUUUUGGACAAUGGGCGCAAGCCUGAUCCAGCCAUGCCGCGUGCAGGAUGAAGGCCUUCGGGUUGUAAACUGAUUUUGUACGGAACGAAAAGCCUUCUUUUAAUACAGGAGGGUCAUGACGGUACCGUAAGAAUAAGCACCGGCUAACUACGUG